UACGGGAGGCAGCAGUGGGGAAUAUUGCACAAUGGGCGCAAGCCUGAUGCAGCCAUGCCGCGUGUAUGAAAAAGGCCUUCGGGUUGUAAAGUACUUUCAGUCGUGAGGAAGGUGUUAAGGUUAAUAACCUUAGCAAUUGACGUUAGCGACAGAAGAAGCACCGGCUAACUCCGUGCCAGCAGCCGCGGUAAUACGGAGGGUGCGAGCGUUAAUCGGAAUUACUGGGCGUAAAGGGCACGCAGGCGGUUAAUUAAGUUGGAUGUGAAAUCCCCGGGCUUAACCUGGGAAUGGCAUUCAAGACUGGUUAGCUAGAGUCUUGUAGAGGGGGGUAGAAUUCCAUGUGUAGCGGUGAAAUGCGUAGAGAUGUGGAGGAAUACCGGUGGCGAAGGCGGCCCCUGGACAAAGACUGACGCUCAUGUGCGAAAGCUGGGGAGCAAACAGGGAUUAGAUACC
This 453-nucleotide ribosomal RNA is filed under the name uncultured bacterium. RNAcentral's name for it is "bacterial SSU rRNA". It matches the Rfam family "Bacterial small subunit ribosomal RNA", at positions 340 to 786 of the family's 1533-position model. The record is from RNAcentral.